Molecule: ribosomal RNA, 420 nt
Filed under: uncultured bacterium
Lineage: Bacteria
Description: bacterial SSU rRNA
Rfam family: Bacterial small subunit ribosomal RNA
Source: RNAcentral
CAGUGGGGAAUAUUGCACAAUGGGCGCAAGCCUGAUGCAGCAACGCCGCGUGGGGGAUGAAGGCCUUCGGGUUGUAAACCUCUUUUAGCAGGGAAGAAGCCGCAAGGUGACGGUACCUGCAGAAAAAGCACCGGCUAACUACGUGCCAGCAGCCGCGGUAAUACGUAGGGUGCGAGCGUUGUCCGGAAUUAUUGGGCGUAAAGAGCUCGUAGGCGGUCUGUCGCGUCUGCUGUGAAAACCCGAGGCUCAACCUCGGGCCUGCAGUGGGUACGGGCAGGCUAGAGUGCGGUAGGGGAGAAUGGAACUCCUGGUGUAGCGGUGGAAUGCGCAGAUAUCAGGAAGAACACCGAUGGCGAAGGCAGUUCUCUGGGCCGUAACUGACGCUGAGGAGCGAAAGCGUGGGGAGCGAACAGGAUUAGA